CUAGCACUUUUACAGGUCCUCCCCAGGCAGUAGGGCCAGAAUUUGGUAACUGGUCCUGAAAGAAGACCCUUGAUUGAAUCCUUGCUCUGGAAAUGUACCAGUGGCAGUUUGUCACUCAAUGGCACAGAG
Small nucleolar RNA from Pteronotus mesoamericanus, 129 nucleotides. RefSeq annotates it as small nucleolar RNA SNORA30/SNORA37 family. Lineage: Eukaryota; Metazoa; Chordata; Mammalia; Chiroptera; Mormoopidae. The record is from RefSeq and is a predicted model, not a curated record. The transcript has a single exon.